GUGAAGAGGUCAUUAUUUCUAAAACUAGAGAAGAAAUCAGUUAGAUUUGUUUGAACAAAUAAAAUGUGAAUUUGGAAGAGAUUCAAUAUGGCCAUAAUUAUUUACCUCAACAAACCACACUCCUCUCAUUCCUUUCCCCACACCCCCAACAAAAAAAAAAGGGAAUCCUGAAUUAUUAAAAGAUCAUAGGAGAAAAAUUU
RNAcentral lists this unclassified non-coding RNA (200 nucleotides) under Hevea brasiliensis (rubber tree). Lineage: Eukaryota; Viridiplantae; Streptophyta; Magnoliopsida; Malpighiales; Euphorbiaceae. The record is from RNAcentral.